Molecule: non-coding RNA, 74 nt
Filed under: Marinobacter flavimaris
Lineage: Bacteria; Pseudomonadati; Pseudomonadota; Gammaproteobacteria; Pseudomonadales; Marinobacteraceae
Description: Glycine riboswitch
Rfam family: Glycine riboswitch aptamer
About the family: This family represents the bacterial glycine riboswitch. Glycine riboswitches usually consist of two metabolite-binding aptamers domains with similar structures in tandem.
Source: RNAcentral
CUCGCAGGAGAGUGGGCCGUUGGCCCCGCCGAAGGCGCAAACUCCCAUAAACGCUCAGGCACAGGUACUGCGAG